GUGGGGAAUAUUGGACAAUGGGGGGAACCCUGAUCCAGCCAUGCCGCGUGUGUGAAGAAGGCCUUUUGGUUGUAAAGCACUUUAAGCGAGGAGGAGGCUACCGAGAUUAAUACUCUUGGAUAGUGGACGUUACUCGCAGAAUAAGCACCGGCUAACUCUGUGCCAGCAGCCGCGGUAAUACAGAGGGUGCAAGCGUUAAUCGGAUUUACUGGGCGUAAAGCGCGCGUAGGUGGCCAAUUAAGUCAAAUGUGAAAUCCCCGAGCUUAACUUGGGAAUUGCAUUCGAUACUGGUUGGCUAGAGUAUGGGAGAGGAUGGUAGAAUUCCAGGUGUAGCGGUGAAAUGCGUAGAGAUCUGGAGGAAUACCGAUGGCGAAGGCAGCCAUCUGGCCUAAUACUGACACUGAGGUGCGAGAGCAUGGGGAGCAAACAGGAUUAGAAACCCGGGUAGUCC
RNAcentral lists this ribosomal RNA (451 nucleotides) under uncultured bacterium. Its description in RNAcentral is "partial 16S ribosomal RNA". It matches the Rfam family "Bacterial small subunit ribosomal RNA", at positions 354 to 796 of the family's 1533-position model. The record is from RNAcentral.